UGGUACCCAGGAUCUGAGAUAGGAGGCCUCUGAGGAAGUGCUGGAGAGCAGAGGGCAGAGGGCUCGCUGUACACGGAUCGAAAUGGGGCUGCUGCCCGAGCCGACAGGAAAUCGGGAGCAGGCUGAGGAGAUUAAAAAUGAGGACCAGGAUUAAAACCGGGUGGUGGCCCGGGCUUUUUAAGCAGGGAAGAAGGUAAAGGCAGGCAAGGGUUGUGCUGGGGAGAGCUUCCGACACGGCUGAAUUCUCCCCCUUGUAAGCAAUGACCAUGACCACUGCUAGUUCCUGGUACCUCGAGCCAGCGUCGGCGAUCAGGGCCAAUCUUGCUCUGUAUAGACUUUAAAGUAAUUAGAGGCUUGGGGAAACUGAGUUCCAGUCUGGGAGGGACUUCUUUGUGGCCACACAGGGAUAUGCAUCAAACACGCGUGGCAGGAAGCUUGGCCCGCGAAACACCAGCUGAGACCUGUGAGUUGUCCGCUGACCGGGCAAGCCAAGGUUCCCUUGCAUAGCGUGAGAUCAAGAAAUGCCCUUGACCAUGAGGCAUCAUGGCCUCCGCUGGCAGAAGGCUCAACCAGCAGUCUCCGCUGACUCAUUCUUGGGGGCCCUUUAGUACUGUGCUCGGCUGGACAACUUGAAGUUUCUCCUGGAGGUGGAAUUAUAUGUAUUGUCUGGAAACAAGAUUGUGUCCUGGGGAAAGUGACUGCCUAGAUGUUGUCCACAGAUGGUUUUGGGAGUCAGAAACCUCUGAAGAGUGUUAGACCUCCAGAUAUCCAAUUACUGCUGUAUUGCUUCAAUGAAAGUGAACUUGGAGGACAAGGUGGUCGUGGGGAGAUGACAGCCAUUCCUCAGCUGUGAAAAGAACCAUGCCUUCAGGAGUUAUGAAAAAUGAAGCACUUUUCUCAUUAGAAAAGAAUUAUCCAUUUCCUUCUUCUAUCGCCAAAGGCUAUUUUUCUGCCAAUUCAAUGAGAGUGUAAACUUGGGAUUCAUUGCUUGCAGGGAAAAAAAGAAGCAAGUGUACUCUGGGAUCCUCAAGAGUCAAUGAUAAGUGGGUAAAUGGAAUUGAAAAGACUAAGUGCUGGGGGCUGAGCUGGGCUCACUGAAUGGUGCUGUGCACAGGGCAGAACCAACAGUAUGUGAACAAGUUCUGAUUUGCUAAAAAGGAAACAAGGUGAAAUAGCUAAAUUUGCUUUGAGCAAAUUUCUUUCUCCAUCAGAAUCAAAACAAUGGAUGCUAUUCUCUCCCCUGGUAAGAGUUUAAAAAUGCAUUGGAUCCAAGCCUAUUAAUUGUUUUUUUAAAAUUCUUUUAAACAUUUUUAUCUUCUUCAUCAUUCCCAUCACAACCAUUCAAACCCCCAUUAUAGGAAGGGUGAGCUAUCUCACUGCCUUUCUAUCUGAUCUUUGAGUCUUCAUUCUCUAUUUUAGUCCAUCCAAUAGUAGCAGCAGCAGCUGUAGUAAUCUUAAUAAAAAUAAUAGUUAUAAGAAAGCAAUAAUGAUAAAGCAGUAGCCUCAAACCUCAAGGGUUGGUAAGGCCAGCCUCUGCCACAGUGACAGUCCAAGGAGUAGGUAUAUGACCAAGUCAGUCAGAACUUUUCCCUGACACAUUAUAGAUGCUUAGUGAAAGAAACUCUUUACCUUGAUGUUGUUAAUCUGGAGCUACAUGAGGCCAUGGACCUCUUUGUAUGUGUGGCCGUGCCUCCCUCUCACAAAAAAGCUUUUGCUUUUCACACGACUGGGCAAUAGAAAAAGUUCAUUUUCAGUAGGAGAGAAUGAGGCCAACUUAUGGAAAGAAGGAAAGUGAGCAAGAGGGUGAGAAUGAGAGAUAGAUGCUAGGUGGCAAGAUGAUUUCCCUAGCCCCAGGGAUGAAUCAUGGUUCAUGGCUGUCCUCUUCUCCUUGACCAGUGAUUCAUCUAGGAAUGGACUUGUGACCAACUCUGGCCAAUAAGAUUGAAUGGGAUGCCUGCUUGGGGCUUUCCAAAAGGACUUUUCUCAGUGAUGGGGGUGGUACAUAAGAAGAAAGGCACUUUUUUCUCUAUCCCCUUCCUUCUUACUCGUGAUCCUAUUGUGUGAGAUCAUGAACUUAAACCCAGACCAUUGUCUAGUAUCCAUGAGGGGAGUUAUGGCCAGCCCCUCGAGCAUGGCAGAACAGAAGAGCAGACGUGGCCUUAAUGGUGUGACUGAACAGCUAAACCAACAUGGAGUCUUCUUUCAGCUUCGUUUGAGGGCGAGUAAUUAAAUGUCUCUGUUAUUGAAGCCACUGUUAAUCCUGUAGUCUGCUACUUGUAGUCAAACGCAAACCGACUUGAAAGCAAGAUAAAACAGAAGAACUAGGAGUUCAUAUUCUCCAAAUUACCUCCAGCCCAGACUUCUCUCUUGAGUUUCAGAUCCGGCUACCUGCUAGGCAUUGUACCCAGGAGUCCCAUGGAAUUUCAACUCAACAGAUCCCCAAACCAAACUCAUCCUCAUACUGUGUGAACCUCCACUUCGCCCUGUCCCCAGGAUCUACCCCGUUCACCUGGGCACACAAGCCAGGUACCUGGGAAUCACUCUAUAGUUUUCCUUGUCCCUCACCUACCUGUCCAGUUAGUUACAUCUAUUUGACCUUUUAAUCUGCCCUCUUCUCUCCGAUCCCAUUGCCACUGCUUUAGCUGGGGGCAGGGGUUCAUCAUCUUUCUCCAGGGCCACCACCUCUCAAGUGUUUUACUUGUCUAUGAUCAUGUUUCUCUCGAAAACUUCUACCAGCUUCCAGCACGGUCCACCCAAAGUGCAGCUCUGACCUUGUCAUUGUCUUGCCUGAGAUCCCUGAGGGACUCUCUAUGGCCUGAGACACUGGCUUUUAAGUGUGGUCUCUGGAUCAGCAGCAUCAACAUCACUAGGUAACUUGUGAGAAAACAAAUUCUCAGACCCCACUAAAGAGUAUCUACUGAAUCAGACACUCUGGGGAUAGGGCCCAGCUCUCUGUUUAAACAAGCCUUCUGAAGGAAUCUGAUGUACAAGGUUUAGAAGCCACUAUGGGCUUAAAGCCAUAAAUAAAUAAAUAAAUAAAUAAAUAAAUAAAUAAAUAAAUUCCUUGGUGUGGUAGGUUGAAUAGUAUCGCCAGAUUCUUGUCUACUUGGAACCUCAGAAUGUGACCUUACUUGGAAACAGUCUUUUGCUGAUAUAAUUAGUGAAGGAUCAUGGAUGAUAUCAUCCUGGAUUAGAAUGGGUCCUAAAUCCAGUGGCUGGGGUCCUUUUAUGAAGAAGAGAAACAGAGACACACACAGAGGAGAAAACGAUGUGAAGAAGGAGGCAGAGACUGGGGUUCCUCUGCCCUGAACCAAGAAAUGCAAUGCCUGGGGC
Long non-coding RNA from Mustela erminea (ermine), 3333 nucleotides. RefSeq lists it as uncharacterized. The record is from RefSeq and is a predicted model, not a curated record. The transcript has 4 exons. Lineage: Eukaryota; Metazoa; Chordata; Mammalia; Carnivora; Mustelidae.